RNAcentral lists this ribosomal RNA (253 nucleotides) under uncultured bacterium. Its description in RNAcentral is "partial 16S ribosomal RNA". It matches the Rfam family "Bacterial small subunit ribosomal RNA", at positions 524 to 776 of the family's 1533-position model. The record is from RNAcentral.
UACAGAGGUCUCAAGCGUUGUUCGGAUUCAUUGGGCGUAAAGGGUGCGUAGGUGGCGCCAUAAGUCGGGUGUGAAAUCUCGGGGCUUAACUCCGAAACUGCAUUCGAUACUGUGGUGCUCGAGGACUGGAGAGGAGACUGGAAUUCAUGGUGUAGCAGUGAAAUGCGUAGAGAUCAUGAGGAAGACCAGUGGCGAAGGCGGGUCUCUGGACAGUUCCUGACACUGAGGCACGAAGGCCAGGGGAGCAAACGGG